RNAcentral lists this ribosomal RNA (524 nucleotides) under uncultured bacterium. Its description in RNAcentral is "bacterial SSU rRNA". It matches the Rfam family "Bacterial small subunit ribosomal RNA", at positions 772 to 1294 of the family's 1533-position model. The record is from RNAcentral.
ACUAAAUAGAUACCCAGGUAGUCCACGCCGUAAACGAUGGAUGCUAGCCGUUGGCGGGUUUACUCGUCAGUGGCGCAGCUAAACGCAUUAAGCAUCCCGCCUGGGGAGUACGGUCGCAAGAUUAAAACUCAAAGGAAUUGACGGGGGCCCGCACAAGCGGUGUAGCAUGUGGUUUAAUUCGAAGCAACGCGCAGAACCUUACCAGCCCUUGACAUGUCCCGUAUGGACUUCAGAGAUGAGGUCCUUCAGUUCGGCUGGCGGGAACACAGGUGCUGCAUGGCUGUCGUCAGCUCGUGUCGUGAGGUGUUGGGUUAAGUCCCGCAACGAGCGCAACCCUCGCCCUUAGUUGCCAUCAUUUAGUUGGGCACUCUAAGGGGACUGCCGGUGAUAAGCCGCGAGGAAGGUGGGGAUGACGUCAAGUCCUCAUGGCCCUUACGGGCUGGGCUACACACGUGCUACAAUGGCGGUGACAGAGGGAUGCAAUGGAGCAAUCCUGCGCAAAUCUCAAAAAGCCGUCUCAGUUC